Molecule: long non-coding RNA, 1492 nt
Organism: Ictalurus furcatus (blue catfish)
Lineage: Eukaryota; Metazoa; Chordata; Actinopteri; Siluriformes; Ictaluridae
Exons: 4
Source: RefSeq, a predicted model, not a curated record
UGAAGGGGAGGCUCUCAGAGUGCGAGUGUGAGUGUGUGAGUGUGUGUGUGUAAAGGAAGAAAAACGCUAUGCCAGGUCUGUGCUGUUCAGGAAACAAAUGGCACCUCUCCGAGUUCUUGAAACUUAACAUCACAGACUCCCAAAUUAUUACAGUUUGAGUCAGUCUGAAGAAUACACGCAGUUGAACUGGUGAUUUAUUGAACAAAUAAAAAAUGACACUGAAGACAGAUUAGCUUUGAACCUAUACGAUUUGCGUGCAUGUGGUCACUUUGCAUUAGGCUGCAAACCGCCAAUGGCCACUCCUCAUCAUUGUUGACUUGUCUCCCAGUGAAGAUAAAGAAGACCCAGACCAAACCCAUGUGUUUCUCAAAUACAUCAUGUCAACCACUUAAUUGCUCAGUAAGGGUCGCAGGGAGCCUGGAGCCCAUCCCAGGGGACAUCUCUAAAGUGCACUGAAGAAAGGUAUAGUGCCAUCAGUCUUAAAGUGGAAAACAUAUCCUAUAGUCAUGAUUGUUGAUACGCUCAUUUCCAGAACAGUGGGGCUCCAAGAGACACAUUCUUACCAUGGCCAGAUAAGCUCCACAUCUGAUGCAGGGGUUGACAAAUUAGUAGCCUGGGGUGAAAGUUUUUUUUUUUUUUUUUUUUUUAUUAUCUGACAGGUGACAAGUAGGCUACUGAUAUGGCAGUCACCAGGAUUUCUUCUCCUGCCCCUUAGUUGGAUAAUAAAACCUGCAUUGUGGUAUAGUGGGUAAUGUUGCCACCUCAUAGCUCCAGGGUCACUCAUUAAAUCCAGAGCUUGGGACUCUGUCUUUAUGGAGUUACCCCAUGUUCCCCCUCACAAAAACCAUGCCCCUAGGUGGACUGGCUACACCAAACUACCCCUAGGUGGGAAUAAGCUCUGGAUCCACCGUGACUCUGACCAGGAUAAAACGGUUACUGAAUAUGACUAAAUGAAAGAAAAUACUUUCAUUCAGUUAAUGUGCUUUAGUGGUUAUACACUUUAUAUUUCUUGAUUGGUUGAUAAUGUACUAUAGCUCACUACUUGUUUCCGAUUUUCACCACCUGCUGCAUUACAGACAUCAACAGAGGAUGCAUUAUGGCUGUUGGUAAGAACUAAUCUUGAUUAGUUGGAUAACUAAUGCCAAUCGGACUAACUAGUUUAAAUUACAUUAGCUGCUUUCCCAGGCAGUCAAAACAUAGCGACUUGGGCAACCACAUUUGAGCACACAUUCAAGAUGGACUACAUAAGUUACUGAGGUGACCUCGCCUAGACUGAAAGUACAAAAUACCCUCAUUGAGAGAUUACAGAUGCAGGCUGGCAUUCAGCUGGGGAUGGUAGAGGCCCUGUUUAUACAUUAAAUGCAAAUGUAAAAGUGUAUCUGGCCCGACACCCCCACACACAGAUCACGUUCCCAGGGGCCUGAAGCCCUCUCCCUCUUCAAACAGACCAGUCUUGCCCUAGCCCCAAAGCCUCUGAAGCAAAUACAAUUUA